This 65-nucleotide transfer RNA is filed under the name Isoptena serricornis. Its description in RNAcentral is "tRNA-Phe". It matches the Rfam family "tRNA". Rfam says of the family: Transfer RNA (tRNA) molecules are approximately 80 nucleotides in length. Their secondary structure includes four short double-helical elements and three loops (D, anti-codon, and T loops). The record is from RNAcentral. Lineage: Eukaryota; Metazoa; Arthropoda; Insecta; Plecoptera; Chloroperlidae.
ACUCGAAUAGCUUAUGUAGAGCAUAACAUUGAAGAUGUUAGGGUGAUUAUUUAAAUCUUUGAGUG